This 5855-nucleotide long non-coding RNA is filed under the name Actinidia chinensis (golden kiwifruit). Its description in RNAcentral is "long non-coding RNA (ACHI_LNC004041)". The stretch from base 5595 to 5712 matches the Rfam family "MIR403 microRNA precursor family". The record is from RNAcentral. Lineage: Eukaryota; Viridiplantae; Streptophyta; Magnoliopsida; Ericales; Actinidiaceae.
ACACGGAUUAUUACGGAGGGAGAGGGAGCGUUGCUUAUGUGAGAGGUAGAAGAAGGAAGAGGCAACGGCUGAGCGUUAAAUACUGGAAAAUUAGGAAUUAGGGUUUUGUGGAGGGUGCGAUGGCGUACUAAUAAAUUACUGAACGCGGCUUCUUCAUCUCGUAAUAUUACGAAAUGCCCCAUUUCAUCGGAAUUUGGGCUGUGGUUGCGGGCCUGGUUCUAACGGGUCCAAUGCACCUCAGCUUGGAUAAGGCCUUGGUUGCCCAAUUGCUUUACCUUUUUGAGUUCUGAAUCCGUCCAUGGCAUUUUAUAUCUUUUUAAAUGACAUUUUAUCUUUUCGUCAGUUUUUUUUUUUUACUUUUCCAAAAUCGGAAAUAAAAUGGUAUUUACAAAAAAAAAAACUCUAAAAAUUUAAUUAUUUAAAUGAAAUAACUCAAUUGUUUAUUUUUGUUUUCUGUUUUGUUCCAUGCCAUGUCGUAAGCUAAUUAAAUUUGGGCAGACCUAAAUAAUCCGGCCGUUGGGUCAAGCCGCAACCCCCACUCCCCACCCCCUAUCCUGCACCCAAAAAUCAAAAGUAAUUUCGUCAAAUGUUGCUGCAGACAAAAACUGGAACUUAAAAUAAUGAACCCUCUAAUUCUCAAUGCGUUGUUCUUUUUGAUCUCAACGCAACCAUACCCUACUUCCAAAAGAUAACAAAAAUAAGAAAUUCAUAUUGAGCUUUAACCAAAGGGACUUAACUUAAUAGGGAUGUUAACAAGCUGAGUUAAGCUUUCAUGUACUCGAGCUUGUUUAUUAAGAUUUUAGCAAAUUUGCGUUCAAGCCGAGCUGACUUAGACUUGAAUCAAGCUCAACUCAUUUACUAAAGGAGCCUGGUACUUAGGCUUGAGCUUGUUUGUUUACCAAGCGAACCAAAUCAAACCCGAGCCUGCUUGCAAACGACUCAAAUCGUUUGCAGCUCUACAGUUACCUGUGCACAGGGCAGUAGAGAGAGAGAGAUUCAAUUAAUUGACAAACAAAUAUGUAAAGCACAUUCAAAAGAAAGGAAUCAGUGGAAGAACACUGAAACUGAAAGAACUUCUCAUUUCAAAAAUUGUAUGAAGGUAGCAUUUUACACAAACAAAUACCUUUGAACAAACAGUAAAAAAAAUCUUAGAUUUCUCAAAAAGGGGCAUGUGUGAUUGCAAAGUGGGAAAGUCACAACAAGUUAGCAGCAGAUAGGAUAAGAGACAGUGAGUAAAUUUAAAAACUAGAAUACAAUAGAUUACCUGUAAUAAAGUUGGAAAGAUCCCAAGGUUCUAAUGACUUUACAUAUAAUGUGUCCAGCUGUGGUUUUGGGACUUCAUUUCCAUAUCAUACAGAUACAGAAAGUAGCAUGUCCAUAUACUAUACAAAGUGCAUAAACUAACAUAACCAACAAAACAGAUAAAAGUUCUAGUCAUGCCGAUUGCCUUAUUUUUCUUUAUUUACAUCUGUAAAGAUAGUGAAUACAUAAACUACUAGAGAAUGUAAACCUUCAUUCGUAUUUCCAAUUCAAAACAUAAAAGAGCACUCGGCCGUUGCCAUUUGGCAAACUUUUAUUCUUGCUUGGACAGCCAAAUCUACAGUUACAGUAGUUAUGGAUGUAAACAUAUAUAUAUAUAUAUAUAUAUAUAUCAAUCUGCAAUAAAAAGGCAAAACAAACCAAAAAGCACAGUAACAUAACUCGUGGCAUCAUGAAUGCCUACCGUAAGAUUGAAACAAAUGGGGUAGGCGUAAAAGACAAUAAAUAUUAAAUCAUUCUGAACCAUUAUAAAGAAAUUUUCAACAAUUUUUAAGUUUGAGAAAAUAAAAGGCAAAAUGAAAUAUUGUACCCUUCUAAUACAUAGGACAUAAAAAAAAACAGGUUACUAUGGUGUGUGCAUAUCAUCGUUCCUGCAACCGCAUUACCUUCCCUCGGUAUUACCAGAGGACUAUGAAUUGUAGUAGGCUAGAGUGGAUGGUUUGACAAAACUAUGUUACACGGACUCUUUCAAAAUAAUCGGAAGAGGCAUGGCCCACUGAUCCGUGAACAGGUUCAACCCCUCUCACUGUCAUCACUCCUGUAACACUUGGUGGAUAUAAAACGUUCCACAGAGUUCUUCUAUCACGACAAGCUCAGACACGUAAUAUAUAAAUCAAGUACAAGGUGUGGUAUGCGUUCCUGAUACAUGUUGUAUUAUAGUAUUAAACAUUGUUGUUAUAUCCAUAUUCUAUAAAAUGGGUAAAAAUUGCUUUUUUGACACUUUAUAUUAAAUAAAACACCACUUUAUCCCUCAAACUAGAUUAAAAUACAGACAAAUAUGCUCACUUUUUUGCCAAGUCCGCAUACCUUUUAACCAGAGUUUCUAUGGGUUCGAUCCUACAUACGCACCCGCAUCCGACACCCAAACCUGAGUCUAUGUAACAUAGGGGGUCAAGGUUCCUUGCCCCAUUCUCCCAUGAGGGAACUGGCACCUAGAGAGAUAGAGAGACCCCCACAAGAACAGAAAACUAAACCUUGACCAUGACACAUGACACUCCAGAAGGUGUAUCGUACCUACUACCUAUUGCACCCUCCUAACACAAACCACGAGGUCUAAGUAGUGGGAUUGGUAGUUCAGAGACCUCCAAGGGGAAUGGCCCUCAAGAACCCACCAAGGUAGCCUAGCGGUUUAAGGUGACCAACAGUAAAUUCAGAGGUCUUGUAUUCAACUCUUGUUGGCGGCGCUUUGACUUAUCCAAUACUUGUGGCUUGUGGGUGGUUGCAAAGUAUUUGGGGUUUAUCCUGCUGGGGUGCGGGUGCAUCCAAAGUGCCCAUGCUUUGGAGGAGUUACUCGUUACCAAAAAGAAAAAAUAGACCCUUAUGUUUGAUGUAUAGGAUGUUGCGCAUUUUCAUGCAAGACAAACAAUACAACAGAGGACCAACACUACAACACAUUCUCUUCAUCUAAGAACGCCUCAACUUCAUCUCCCCCACCUUUGGUGUUAGUAAUGUUACCAGAGAACCCACAGUUUGUCCACUCACAACCAACCCGCCCACAAUCCACUCCGCUAGGAAGAGUGGUAAUCUCUAUGCGUGUCAACUUAGACAAGGAGGCAGCAGAAUUGCGACCCGUUACAAAUAGAAUCAAGCAAUAUGUACACACUCCUUUUGUGGAAGAUUCUUAAUUGGGCUGCUUGGUAGUGGCUGCUAAUUUUGACCAACAUCCAUAAGCUAUAACUUAUUUGGUUACACCAAGAGCAUCAAACCAAUUUUCUAUGGCACAUCCUCCGCAGAGCGACCAGCCGACCACCUAAUGGAGGAACAACAAAAGCUAUAGACCCACACCAUUCGAGUCUUGUUUUUAUAGAAGGAUACCCUUGCUACCUCACAUUUUCAAUCAAGAUAUAACGUGAAUAAUAAGAUCCCAGGUAAAUUCAGGACAAACUUCCAAACCACAUUCCUAUAUCAAACCAUAAACCCACCAGGAUUGACACAAUCUUUGAAUCUUAAAGAACAUCAACAUGAAUAUUAUCACUUGUACUACAACACAUCUUAUUCAUUACCCACCCGUAGCUUUAAGCCAAUGAAAUUGCUGUUGUUACCAAGAAGAAUGAAGAUAGGCUAGAUAGCCAUGGCAACAGCCACCACCUCCACUGAAACCAGCAGCACAUUGUGCCAUCACAACUUCAAACCAUCAUGGCACCCACACGAUCGAUCUCCAUUGACAUUUUUGUCCACCACUUCACUGAAAUGUAAUGAAGCAGGACAAAAAAAUACAUGCAAGUAUCAUUUUCCCAUCAGUCUUUCAAAUGCAAUAUAGCCACUACAAUAGCGUGUCCUGACAUUCCAUAAUCACGCAUACCACUUUAAAAACCAAUCUUAUUACAAUUUCCUAAAUGAAUUAAGCACCAGUUUAAUUAAUGUGACAGCCUUCCGUAGAGAUGGGAUUUGAUCUAGUAAUUCAUUUUGCCAUCACUUUGAUGCUUUUAUUUCAACGCCCCCAUAGCUUCUAUAAUUGAAUACGCCGACUUUCCAGAAUAAAAAUUCACUUAAAAAUGAAUUGAUUAAGACAACUUAGAUCUAUUCAAGUAUAUUAUAUAGUAAAAUUUUAGACUUCAAAUUUUUUUUGAGCAAUAAUGAUUGCCUAAAUUAACUAAAAUCCUAUCAAAUUAAUGUAACAGCCUUCAAUAGAGAUGGAAAACAAGAGUUCCCACAGCAAAAUUGUACAUCAAUAAGAAACAACCUAACCAACACACAGGCAAAGACAACAGGAUUUUAUUGCUAUAUUACUGAGCAAUAAAACCUUUAACUCUCACUUGCAUUACUACAAAAAAAAAAAAAAGGAAUUAAACACACAUCAUUUUUAAAUAAUCGGCCUCCUCGUGUUUAUCAAAAUCUAGGAAGCAUGAGUACUUCAACUAACAUGUCAUACUCAUUUGUACUCAUACCGAUUACUGGCCAUACUUGCAUGGUACUUCUAUGUAGGGUAUGCUAAAAUGCUUAUCGAAUUUUUUUCCUUAAGUUUUGUCGUAACCCAGCUUACCCAUGAUACACUGCCCUAGCCAUACCGCACCAAAAUAGUUUGUCCUUUUAUAUAAAGAUGAAGGUAGCUUGUUGGGAUUUUUUUCUCUUAACUUAACAUACCAAUAAUAUUAAACUUUGGUACCUAGAUUUUUAAGGCAAUGACAUAAACUCCAGACUCUACCAAACCGAAGAUUCGGGAUUAACGGGAGGAAUUGCGCGUGCUAAAUGUCUAACCUUUGAUUAAAAUGUGGUUUAAAGCUUGAAUUCUUAAUUAAUUAAGUCAUUAACUAAUUUUUUUACAUUUAGUUACCUAAUUAUUACAUAUAAUACAUUGCUAAAAAAUAUAAAAAUAUAGACAUACCCUAGUGAUACCUGUUCUCUAGUUUUUUAGGUUUUUCGUAUCGACAAACGCGUACACAUGCUUCAUAUAUCAAAAUCAAUUCCAUGUACCUCGAAAUUAGAAAGUUUUCAGUUUUUCGCUCUAAAAUUUAUUAGUUAGUAUAGCAUUUUCCUUAUUGCAAGAAUAAGAUUGCAGAUCAACUCUAAUAAUAUAAACAGGAACAAAACAUAGAAAAUAAAAAAUAGAAAAAUAGAAAAGCAUACAUACCAUCUCCUAAAUCAUCUGCUCUACAAAAAAAAUCAGAUAGUUUCACAACAUCAUUCCUCCACAUAUCAACAGAUACCAAACUACAAAUACAUCAAUACAAUAUAUGUUUAUAUAUACACACACACAUACAUAUAUAUAUAUAUAUAUGUGGGUGGGUGUGUAUGUAUAUGUAUUUAUAUGUAUAUGUAUUUAUAUAUGUGCAUAUACAUGUAUGCAUUUGUGUAUACAGUUUGUGAUUGGGUAUACCAUCAACUAUCAGGUGGAUCUGCUCUCUGGAUCUAUGAACCAAAGCCAUUCAACGGCUCAUAUUCGUCGAUCGCCUAUAAACCCAACAACCCAACACGUCCCUGUCCCAAAUCCACCCGAUCUAAACCUCACCUCACAAAAACAAUAGUAGUAGCAGUACUUUUCUAGGGCAAAAAAUAAAGUGGCUAAAAGGUACUCAGAAAAGAAACGUUAAUGAUAUUGGGGUGUUGCGGCGAAGGCAGAUCGCGAGUUUGUGCGUGAAUCUAACGCCAUUUCGCCUAGGGAUUCGAACCCAAACAGGCAGUGGACGGUCCCGAUAACGGGGUUAGAUUCACGCACAAACUAGAGAUAUGCCUCCGCGAUAGAGAGAGAGAGAGAAGCCGAGUACUUGAACGAUUUGAUAUGCUCCUGAUAGGUUCAAGGGUUGCUUUAUAUAGACUGAGAAUCGGAGAGAAGAGAGAGAUAAUGUUUUGUGAAAUUAGGAAAGAUGGAGAGAAAU